CCUACGGGUGGCAGCAGAGGGGAAUAUUGGGCAAUGGGCGCAAGCCUGACCAGCAACGACGCGUGAAGGAAGAAGGCUUUAGGGUUGUAAACUUCUUUUCCCAGGGACGAAGCAAGUGACGGUACCUGAGGAAUAAGCCACGGCUAACUACGUGCCAGCAGCCGCGGUAAUACGUAGGUGGCAAGCGUUAUCCGGAUUUACUGGGUGUAAAGGGCGUGUCGGCGGGACUGCAAGUCAGAUGUGAAAACCACGGGCUCAACCUGUGGCCGGCAUUUGAAACUGGAGUUCUUGAGUACUGGAGAGGCAGACGGAAUUCCUAGUGUAGCGGUGAAAUGCGUAGAUAUGAGGAGGAACACCAGUGGCGAAGGCGGUCUGCUGGACAGCAACUGACGCUGAGGCGCGAAAGCGUGGGGAGCAAACAGGAUUAGAUACCCGAGUAGUC
Molecule: ribosomal RNA, 442 nt
Filed under: uncultured bacterium
Lineage: Bacteria
Description: partial 16S ribosomal RNA
Rfam family: Bacterial small subunit ribosomal RNA
Source: RNAcentral